CAGCAGCGCCUGCGCCGCCGCCCCGGGCCGCGUCGCGUCGCGUCGCCAGAGGAGUCACCGGGAGCGGCCGGGCUGCGGGGCGGGGAGGGGAGGGGGCGCCGGGCCCUGGGCCCUGGGGAGCGCCGGGCCGCCUUGGCGGUUGGCUCCGCGGGAGGACGGCCGGGUAACGCGGGUGCCUGCGAUGGCGAGGGCUGGCCCGGAAGGUACUACAUAUGUAAUCUGUUACAGAAAUCUUGAAUCUAAACGCAGCAGUCUUCUACAGACAGAAACUAAGCUUACAGUAGCAUUCCUCCACAAAAAGGGAUAAUCUGGUAAUCCUACAUGAGAACAAAUACAGAGGAAGCAAAGCAGCAUUACAAAGCAGAUAAAAAGACAUGGAGUCUGUACCACACACAGACAAAUGUAUCCUGAGAAUUGUCCAAUGGGGGUUGUUUUUUCAUGCAACUUUGAGGCUUCCUUGGACAUUACAGACACUUCAAGAGAAAGAAAGUGUCCCUGGUGCUUGGGGGAUCACUACCUGCAUGCUUCUUCAUAAAAAAACAGCCUCACCAAAUCAAAUCACAGACCUCUUUAGUCCAGGGCCCUGUAUCUGAUAUUGAUCAGCUGAGAAUACUGACAGAUAGAGAGCACAAAUAAGGUGUGUGUGGAACGCUGACAUCCAGUGACAUAUGAUCUUCCUGAGUUUUCAUCUAGACCGAUUUCUUUAGUAGCCUUUGGUGAAUUUCUUUGAAUUUAUCUAACUCCUUUUUGAGUGUGUAUAUUCUUCUGGUCUUCAAAAUAAUGCCAUAUCGAUUUCUAUACUUUAGUGUUAUGCUUUGUAAAAAGGCAUUUCCCGUUGUUUGGAUUAGAAGUGUCUCAUGGUUAAAUUUCAGACUAACUUAUGUUUUGUCAGAGGGAAUGAAAACACGUUCCCUAGUCUCCUUCUCAUGUUCUAUACACCUCUGUCAACCUCCUUUUCUCUCCUCACAGUUGUCUCUUGUUAACUGAAUGUCCUAGUUCAGUUAGUUUCUUCUCACAUUAAAGCCCUUCUGUAGUUCUGAUCAUCGUUGUUGCCUUUCUCUGUAGCUGUUUUUGUUUGAUUACAUCCUUUUUUAAGAAGGGAUGACCAAAAGUGAGGUAUAAUUCAAGUU
Molecule: long non-coding RNA, 1130 nt
Organism: Dromaius novaehollandiae (emu)
Lineage: Eukaryota; Metazoa; Chordata; Aves; Casuariiformes; Dromaiidae
Exons: 4
Source: RefSeq, a predicted model, not a curated record